UUACAAGAACUUCGUCUAUAAAAAAAGAUAAGGAAAAUAGGACUGGUAAGCCACUUCUGGUUAGAACUCUGCUAUUCUAAAUAUUGACAUCUACUGUUCACCAACUUCUCUCUCUAACUUAAGUAUUAGAGGAUCUCCGUCGGACAUAAAUCUGAUUAGUGCGGAUAUUAUCUUGCAGGUAUUUAUUUUCGAUGACAGAUGAUGGGGAGUUGAUCACAAC
RNAcentral lists this long non-coding RNA (220 nucleotides) under Elaeis guineensis (African oil palm). RNAcentral's name for it is "long non-coding RNA (EGUI_LNC000404)". Lineage: Eukaryota; Viridiplantae; Streptophyta; Magnoliopsida; Arecales; Arecaceae. The record is from RNAcentral.